Molecule: ribosomal RNA, 253 nt
Filed under: uncultured bacterium
Lineage: Bacteria
Description: partial 16S ribosomal RNA
Rfam family: Bacterial small subunit ribosomal RNA
Source: RNAcentral
GACAGAGGGUGCGAACGUUGUUCGGAAUUACUGGGCGUAAAGCGCACGUAGGCGGCUUUGUAAGUUAGAGGUGAAAGCCCGGAGCUCAACUCCGGAACUGCCUUUAAGACUGCAUCGCUUGAACGUCGGAGAGGUAAGUGGAAUUCCGAGUGUAGAGGUGAAAUUCGUAGAUAUUCGGAAGAACACCAGUGGCGAAGGCGACUUACUGGACGACUGUUGACGCUGAGGUGCGAAAGCGUGGGGAGCAAACAGG